RNAcentral lists this ribosomal RNA (99 nucleotides) under uncultured bacterium. RNAcentral describes it as "partial 16S ribosomal RNA". It matches the Rfam family "Bacterial small subunit ribosomal RNA", at positions 397 to 508 of the family's 1533-position model. The record is from RNAcentral.
CCGCAUGCGGGAUGAAGGCCCUCGGGUUGUAAACCGCUUUCACCAGGGACGAAGCGAGAGUGACGGUACCUGGGGAAGAAGCGCCGGCUAACUACGUGC